AAAUUGAAGAGUUUGAUCAUGGCUCAGAUUGAACGCUGGCGGCAGGCCUAACACAUGCAAGUCGAGCGGUAGCACAGAGAGCUUGCUCUCGGGUGACGAGCGGCGGACGGGUGAGUAAUGUCUGGGAAACUGCCUGAUGGAGGGGGAUAACUACUGGAAACGGUAGCUAAUACCGCAUAACGUCGCAAGACCAAAGUGGGGGACCUUCGGGCCUCAUGCCAUCAGAUGUGCCCAGAUGGGAUUAGCUAGUAGGUGGGGUAACGGCUCACCUAGGCGACGAUCCCUAGCUGGUCUGAGAGGAUGACCAGCCACACUGGAACUGAGACACGGUCCAGACUCCUACGGGAGGCAGCAGUGGGGAAUAUUGCACAAUGGGCGCAAGCCUGAUGCAGCCAUGCCGCGUGUGUGAAGAAGGCCUUCGGGUUGUAAAGCACUUUCAGCGGGGAGGAAGGCGUUAAGGUUAAUAACCUUGGCGAUUGACGUUACCCGCAGAAGAAGCACCGGCUAACUCCGUGCCAGCAGCCGCGGUAAUACGGAGGGUGCAAGCGUUAAUCGGAAUUACUGGGCGUAAAGCGCACGCAGGCGGUCUGUCAAGUCGGAUGUGAAAUCCCCGGGCUCAACCUGGGAACUGCAUUCGAAACUGGCAGGCUAGAGUCUUGUAGAGGGGGGUAGAAUUCCAGGUGUAGCGGUGAAAUGCGUAGAGAUCUGGAGGAAUACCGGUGGCGAAGGCGGCCCCCUGGACAAAGACUGACGCUCAGGUGCGAAAGCGUGGGGAGCAAACAGGAUUAGAUACCCUGGUAGUCCACGCCGUAAACGAUGUCGAUUUGGAGGUUGUGCCCUUGAGGCGUGGCUUCCGGAGCUAACGCGUUAAAUCGACCGCCUGGGGAGUACGGCCGCAAGGUUAAAACUCAAAUGAAUUGACGGGGGCCCGCACAAGCGAUGGAGCAUGUGGUUUAAUUCGAUGCAACGCGAAGAACCUUACCUGGUCUUGACAUCCACAGAACUUUCCAGAGAUGGAUUGGUGCCUUCGGGAACUGUGAGACAGGUGCUGCAUGGCUGUCGUCAGCUCGUGUUGUGAAAUGUUGGGUUAAGUCCCGCAACGAGCGCAACCCUUAUCCUUUGUUGCCAGCGGUUCGGCCGGGAACUCAAAGGAGACUGCCAGUGAUAAACUGGAGGAAGGUGGGGAUGACGUCAAGUCAUCAUGGCCCUUACGACCAGGGCUACACACGUGCUACAAUGGCAUAUACAAAGAGAAGCGACCUCGCGAGAGCAAGCGGACCUCAUAAAGUAUGUCGUAGUCCGGAUUGGAGUCUGCAACUCGACUCCAUGAAGUCGGAAUCGCUAGUAAUCGUAGAUCAGAAUGCUACGGUGAAUACGUUCCCGGGCCUUGUACACACCGCCCGUCACACCAUGGGAGUGGGUUGCAAAAGAAGUAGGUAGCUUAACCUUCGGGAGGGCGCUUACCACUUUGUGAUUCAUGACUGGGGUGAAGUCGUAACAAGGUAACCGUAGGGGAACCUGCGGUUGGAUCACCUCCUUA
This 1540-nucleotide ribosomal RNA is filed under the name Klebsiella pneumoniae. Its description in RNAcentral is "bacterial SSU rRNA". It matches the Rfam family "Bacterial small subunit ribosomal RNA". The record is from RNAcentral. Lineage: Bacteria; Pseudomonadati; Pseudomonadota; Gammaproteobacteria; Enterobacterales; Enterobacteriaceae.